UAACUGUUCAACUGUUCACCUCUAUUUACUCUGCUUUUGUGAUUAAUUAANCAGCAUUCUUGUAUUAUUUAAUUAGCCGUCUAUCCGUCUCAAUCACAUUCAUUUCAAUCCUCAACUCCACAUGCACAAGAAAAACAAAAGAGGAAAUAAUCUUCAAGAAAUGUAUAUGGUCCUACAAGAGGUGCCGCCCUUUUCNGCGCGCACCAGUCAGUGCCAGGAAAAACCGUUGGUGAUGUGAUGACCUCAAGUUUGUCGUCAUGUAUGACGUAUGAUAUAGGAUAAUAGCAAGAGAUAAGUAGUAUUGGACAACCCUCGGACAAGGAGCUUGUAAAGAUUGUCGUGAACAAGUACUCAGAAGAAAGAUUAAUAAAAUUGUUAUCAACUUCGGAAUCGUGCAAUUUGAAGGCUAUAACAGUGACCAUCUGCCCAAAUUCUCUGACGAAGGCUGGCCACCUCCAUUUCAAGAGACUGUUGUUUUGAUGAGAGAGUUCCUUUCAAAUAAUUGUGGUUGCCCACCAUGAUCCACAAAUAUAUUUACGUAUCAAAAAGCCUACUUCAACCAUGUAUUUCGAUUGCAAGAAACUCAGACGGCUAGUGGAUAUAUAUCCCUUUAUUAUAAAAUUUCUAAUUUGUCCAACCAUUGUUGGGAAGUUGCCAUGACGAUUAUGAACAUGAUUCAGAGUGGUUCAAUUCCACAACAAGCACAGAGAAAAAGAAAAAACAAAAAAGUUGUAUACCAAUCGUCUUUUUCGUUUCUGGCUGGGCUCGACCCAAUCACAAAAGAAAAUGAAAUAUUUCAAAGAUUGUGCCAAUACAAAAAUGGCGAAAUUCUCGAGAAAACAAGAAAAAUUNCNUCAAAGGCUUCAUCAAGCAAUAAUGAUUUGCCGCAUGUUAUCAGGGAGUUGACAGAAAAACUGAACGCGUCUAAGGAGCAAGGCNCUUUAACUAAAACAGAGAAUACGAAGCUNAUGCAAGAUAUAACAAAGCUGANGCAGGACUUUGAAAGGGGGAGAAAGGAUAUCAUACAGAAAGAGGAACAACUUGAGAAGCUUACUGCUGAAAAUAGUAAUCUCUCUGCGGCUCUUGACAUCGAAAAGAAAAACUCGACAUUCCUAUCUUCAAAACUAGAACAGAAAAACAAGGACAUCAAGCUUCUAAAAAGGCAACUUGAUGAGGCCAUGAAGUCGGAAACGUGUCGAAAAAAAAAAAUCUUCGAAAACCCGUCUAUUAGAAGUGUCAAAUGAAGAUGAAACUGAAGAAAGUUUUUCUCAAAUGGAACUUGAAAAAGUAAAGGAUGCAUACCAAAAAGAAAGAACUGCUAUCAAUGAAAUGGUAAAAGACAAUGAACCUCCAGAACAACCACCUACAGGGACCGGUAAACGAGGACCCGGCAACAGUGGAACAGCAACGACACCAUUAGAUGAAAGAGAGGGGAAUUCAAAAGCACNGGAACCUAUGGAUAGUAUCAGUGGAGUNGAGGAAAGUGAGCCAGAAUUUGAAGACGUUUGGGUAAGUUUAUCUGUGCUUUCUUUGACACAGGUUUUCGUUUUUAAUUACA
RNAcentral lists this unclassified non-coding RNA (1558 nucleotides) under Exaiptasia diaphana. Its description in RNAcentral is "uncharacterized LOC110252467, transcript variant X2". Lineage: Eukaryota; Metazoa; Cnidaria; Anthozoa; Actiniaria; Aiptasiidae. The record is from RNAcentral.